GAACAAGGGUGCUUGAUUUUAGACACACUUCCCAAUGAAGGAGUUGGUUAUAUUAGCAGCGUCGAAAAUCCAAGAAUAAAGGAAGUUUAUAUGACUGAGGAAGAAGCUGAUAAAAUUGUUGGGUUAGCUGAUGUUGAAUUUGUG
Long non-coding RNA from Hibiscus syriacus, 144 nucleotides. RefSeq lists it as uncharacterized. NCBI's taxonomy places the organism in Eukaryota, Viridiplantae, Streptophyta, Magnoliopsida, Malvales, Malvaceae. The record is from RefSeq and is a predicted model, not a curated record. The transcript is spliced from 3 exons.